Molecule: long non-coding RNA, 241 nt
Filed under: Nicotiana benthamiana
Lineage: Eukaryota; Viridiplantae; Streptophyta; Magnoliopsida; Solanales; Solanaceae
Description: long non-coding RNA (NBEN_LNC026670)
Source: RNAcentral
GACGGUGUUCAUCUGAGUGGAUUAGUAAGGACAACAAAGAAAUAUGGGUUGGUUUCUUCCUCAACUAUUCUAUGAUUGAGUAGUCCUGCAUUUUCAUUUUCUUCAAAAAUUCUUCUGCCUCUUCUUCUAACACAACCUUCUUCUCUGGUUUUGGGUUAUCUUUAGCAAUUCUUCCCUUCCUCAAUUCUUCUGGGGAAAAGUGCCUUCGUGAUCGAGUUAUACCUCGUGCCUCACACACUUC